AGGGGAGGACACUCUGGGGGAAUCAGUGUCACAGUACGCUUACCCCUGCGCAGGCGCCGUCGCUCAGAGCGCCGGCCGCCAUUUUGGGUGCGGGCAAGCUGCCCUUUUUCUUGACUUCCUCCGAGUCAUCGAGCUGUGAGGGGGAAAGAAGUACUCUCGCACUCCGCGGCUCCUGAAGCAGCGCUCCGGGAGAGGGACAGGUGCUCCUCAGCCGGCUAACAUCAACGUUCAGCUCAGGACCGAGUUAAGUCUCUUGCUAAGUAAAAAUUGCAAAGGUUUUGAAAUACGGAGCCCUAUCUUCUCCACCAAAAACCUACUGGAGAGCACUUAUCAGCUUGCCCUUUUCGCCCCGAAAAACGACUUUUUCGUUCACCGUCUAAGUCCCUUCCUCUUUCUAAUUUAAGCUGACAGAAGAGGAAGCUGACAUAUUGAAAUAACAAAGGAGAAUUAAAUCAAAUUUAAAAUGGAAAACAAGAGGGAAAGCAGCUGCCGAACUGACAAAUCGUCUUCGAGACCAACAAAAAAAAAAUUGGGGGAUUUUGCUAACGUAUUGAGACGGUGGUCAUUUUUCAUAGAUGCUGCGGAAGACUAUUCGAUGAAACUAAAGAAAUCAAAUCAACUUCCGCGUUUCUUUAACAGCGGUCAUAACAUUUUUCUAUCUUCAGUCUUGGUCAUUUGCAUUUUUACAACCUUUCCCCUUCCUUUGUAAUGUAGAACACCGGCCACUGUAAAAACCAGACCGCCAGGCUGCAAGGAUUAUUGUUAUCGUCCGGGAUGAUGAGCCCGGGGGUCCUAUCCUGCAAUCCUGAGCCCUACCGCGUGCUCAUUCUACUCACUUUUGCCAAACCUGCACCGGCAAUUUGAAUGAUUUAAAAUCGUUCCGGAAUAGCAAAGCUCAUCAGCUACGCAAAGAAACAAGGGAUCGAACCUGUGCCCCCUGCAGAGGAAGCGUGGAGUCUUAACCACUGGACCACCAGGGAAGUCCUCCUUUUGUUUAUUUAUUUAUUUAUUUAUUUAGUUAGUUAGUAGUAUUAUUAUUACGUAUGAUACUCCUUUUAAACCAGCUGGCUUCUCUUUUUCCCUUAAGAUAAAAUUCAAAGAUCAAGAAUUACUCCUCCUACUAACCUUUACUGAUAUCUUCUCUGUACUUGGCCCCCUACUCAAAGUUUUUGCUCCUCUUCUAAGCCCCUGCAGUGCCUCGUGUAUACCCAUGAUAUUGUUCUUAUCAUAAGCAUUGCAAUUUCCAAUUUCUUAAACUAUCUACCCCAUUAAACUCACAGCUUUAAAGGAAAGAACUGUAUUUUUCAUCUCUGUAUCCCUAGUGCCUUGUGUAGUGUUCAUCUAACAGCUAUUGGAUAGAUGAGUAAUUGAAUGAAUGAAAUUGAUGGUAUGAAAUUUAGUAUGUUAAAACAGCUCUGGACAUAAAUAGGCAUCAUUUCAAAGUUUCUCUUUUUUUUUAACCAUUUACAUUCUUGUCAUAAUAGAACAUUGAUAAGGUUCUACUGACAAUAAAAAUAGAGCAAAUUUUAAAGGACUGCUUUUAUAAAAUACCGCUAUAAAUUCUUUAGAUAUUACUUAUAUCCAUAAUCUUAAUGGAUUCCUUUUCAACCUAGUAACUAUUCCCUUUUUAUGAAGUGCCAGAGAAAUUUUCAUUGUUAUUCCAAUGAUUACUUUUAUUCUUUUUGAUAUAAAAAUGAUGAAAGUGUAGGUCUAAAAAAAAAUCCAUUUAGGGAUAUUCCCUAGAGUACCUUAAAUUUUUGAGAGGAAGAGUUGUAUAAGAAAAAUCAUUUUAGAAGCAAAGAGCUGAUAGAUACACAUCAUGGAGCUUCUAACCUUAUGAUUUAGCAAAGCAAACAUGUUCUCAUUUGAGAAGAGCAUAGGGUUAAAGGUGAGUGAAAAUAUUUGCAUGGUCAAAAAUUUAACUGGCGAAUCAAAAUUCUGUGUCAGUUUGUGUCAGUCGAAGUUCCACAGGUGAUGGCAAAAUGCACCAAAAGUUGAGAACUACUAAGACAAGGGACCAUUUCUUUUCUUUUGGCUAUUAGCUUAUUAUUUAACCACUUAACAACAUUAACUGGUAUGUCCACUCUCUCAAUUUGAUCUGCAUUGUCAUCCAUCCUUUGCUUUUUUCCUUCAUUCUUUCUACAUAUUUCCAGAGAAGCCACAUUUUAUUUUUACAAAACAGAGAAAUAUCAGUGGCAAUUAAGAUAAAAUGUUAAUAUCUGCAUAUUCUCAAAAAUGAGUAGGCAUCUGUGAUGAGGAAUCAGCACUUCCAUAAUCAAAGACCCUCAUGUUACAUGUUCUAAAAGUUAAAACAGAGUUCCUUAUUGUCCUACUGACUCUUGUUCUUUGAACAAAUACUGUGACUCCCUUCAUUUUCAAAUGUAUACUCUCAGUUUCUCCUCUCAAAUAACUGUCUGAAGUUUUUUUAAUAGGUGAGUCAUGUGUCCCAUGCUGUCCACCAAUUCUGAGAAUGGAUGGAGAAGGGGUCUCUGUUAUCCCACUUCUAUCCUUCAGGUUGGGCGUUUGCCAGAGAUGGAUAGCCCAUGUUUUCACAGCAGGUGCUUUGUUUGGACCCAUAUUUCAGGUGUCACAAGGCCUUUCCUGUGGUUCACAGAGCAGUUCCUAGAGUAGUGUGGGGACAGGUUGAAUCUUGGGUGGUACUUGGGUAUAAAAGAGAACCUAUAAAAUCAAUGCACUAAGGAACUGGGGUUGGUGGUUCCCAGCCACUGGCUUGUAGCCCUCUCCUCCUUUCUUUUGGCAAUGCAGUUCUUAUAAAUAGCAAAAGCUUGUGUUUAAAUUGGGCCUGUCAAAUUUUCUUGUCCCUACAAUAUAUAUUUGUAAUUUUUGUACCUUUAUGUACAUAAUUAAAAAUUUUAAAAUUAUAAAAAUGCAAAAAACAUCCAGAAAUAUUUUUCAUCAGAUAAUACAUUAUAAUGGAAAUACAGAAAAAGGGGAAGUGUCUCCUACAGUAAUUCCACAAUUCUCCCUCCUUAGCGAUAACCAGUGUUAGCAGCUUGCUAAUAUAUACACACCUGUGGGGGCGAGAUAGGUAGUUAUAGGUUUUUUGACCUAUAUAAACACAAACAUUAAAAAAAUAAAGGUAAGAUAAUAUUAUAAAUACUAUUUUAUGAUCUGUUUUUUUUCCUAUGGAAUCAUGUUGGGUACCUAUUUCCAUGCAAAUAUAUAAAAACCUAUCCUAGCCUCCGAAGCUUCCCCCCUCCGCCACCCACAGUCUCCACCAGUGAAGGGGCUUCUAGUGUGUGGAAACUUUUCCUCCUUCACGGCUCCCUCCCAGAGGUACAGGUCCCAUCCCUGUUCUUUUGUCUCUGUUCUUUCUUUUUUCUUUUGCCCUACCCAGGUAUGUGGGGAUUUUCUUGCGUUUUGGGAAGUCUGAGGUCUUCUGCCAGCAUUCAGUAGGUGUUCUGUAGGAGCUGCUCCACAUGUAGAUGUAUUUUUGAUGUAUUUAUGGGGAGGAAGAUGAUCUCCACGUCUUACUCCUCUGCCAUCUUGAAGGUCCAACCUUCGUGAAUCAGUUUUUAUUAAAUGGAAUCUAUAAAAAAAUCACUUCGAUCUAAAAUAUUUUGUUUAUUCAAUGUUGUAUUUAAAUGCCCUGCUCUUUGCUGAUAAGGAAGCUGAAGUGAAGACCCAAUGAACUAAACCGAAAACCUUUGUUAGCUGACUUACAGGGAUAGUGAUGAAGGUCUCAGAUUAGAAUAAAUGUGUCUGUGCACUGAUAUCCAUCAAGGUACACAUUUCCUCAUUACUUAUAAAGGGAUAAAACUGCCAUCGUUGUCAAAUGGUUUUUCUAAAAAUGUAAACCUGUUACAUCUGUAUGGACAUGAAGGCUUGUGAUAAAGGCUUAGAGAGGCGUGGAAGGUAAUAAAACAAUUGUAGGGGAUGAUGAUGGUUUGUACAUUGCCUGUUAUUAACACAUGGAAAUAUAGACAUGAACUUCCAUUAAAUUCAAAGCAUUUUUCUCCUCCUUUCUUACUGUUCUCCAGGUUUUUCUUCUUUAACACCAUACAGUGUGAUUUCUGGUGUUUGAGGCAGCAAACACCAGCUCUGUUAUCUUCCUUCUGAGUGGUUUAAAAAUGAGUAAAUGAAAGUUCUUCUGACAAUUUAUAAACCUAAAACCCAGUGAGGAGUUUUGUUUUUCAAUAGUGUGAAAAAAAAAAAUCUGAGCUGAGAAACUGACUCUAGAAAGUGGCAAUCACACCACAGGCCUGAUGACUUGCAGAGUAACUGUAAGGACAUCCCUGAAGUAGAUCCUCUCCCUAUGGCAUGGUGUCUCUCUAGCCCUUUCCUUUCUCCUGCCCAUCCUCCUCCCAAACCCACCUCCUCCUAACCUCUCUGAGGGAAAACUGACUCUGUUCUCCACCACCUCCACCUCUAGAUCCACUCAGUGUGUGUAACCCAACCCAGCAAGGUGAGUCUUGGGCUCUCACCAAGCAGACCAUCUGCUGUUCCUCAAGCUUACCCUUGGGGUCUCAAGACAUCUAUCUAUACAUUUUUUGUUUUGUUUUAUUUAUUUUACAAAGAUGGAAUCAUCUGACUCCAGACAUACUUUUGGGCAAAUUUGCUUUUUUUUUUAAUGAUUUAAAUAUUAUUUACUAUUAAGAGUAAAUUUUAUAUUUAAACAAACCACACUGGUUUUAUUUAAUCAAAGUACCUGUAGCAAAUUCCAAUAAUAAAUAUUCAAAAUUAAGAUGUUAAAUAAAGCCUUGACUUUCUUUUUUUUUAAUAAUUUUUUUUCACACACACACACACACACACACACACACACACACACACUAUAUUUUAUUUUUACAAGAGAUAAACAGACUGACACCAAGCAUUGUAAAUGGAUGACCACAACAAAAGCAACAAUGAUUGCAAUUACCAGACACGAAACACACUCAUACUAUGUCAUAAUAUUGACAUUCAGUCCAGUAAUCCUCCACUGUAACAGCUCCUUUACUUUGCAGUGAAAAUUGAUUUGUAUAUUUUUUGCCUCUGAGUCCUUGUGGGAUUUUUUUUUAUUAUUAUUCAAACAGAAAGUCACAAAAAUUAUAAUCAUCAGUUCACUCAGUCCCAUGUAAUUAAUUUUUUUCAUCUUGAUCUUUUGUUAGCACUUUUAUGAAUUCAUCAGUUUUCCAUUAGAGUUCUGAAAACGCUUAUUCAUUCAGUUCAGCAGUAUAGUCAGUUACCAGAAACCUGUACUUGUCAGAGUCUUUUCCAUGAAUUCCUUGAAGAUGAAACCCUUUUAUAGGAACAUUUUUGCAAAAGCAUCAGAAUACAUCCAGAACUGUCUGUAAAUGACAAAAGACUUAAAAAUGACCACGGGUAAAGAUUCAAUGAAAGUUCAUAAUAAUGCAAUUGACAAGGAAAUUUAGUUAUUUCUGAGAUACAAAUUUUAAAGUAAUAACUAGAAUUAUGACUUAUAACAUUAUACUAGAGCAUAUAAGAUUUUUAGAAAUUUCAUGUAAGCGAAUUUGCUUUCUAAGAAAAAACUCAGCAAUAUAUUAUGGACAUUUCCCCCAUCAAUUUACACAGUGCUUUCUCCUUUCUAUACCGGUAUGGUACACCAUAAUAUGCUGCUAUAAUUUUUUUAACCAAUUCCCAUGAUGAUUAGCAUGAAGGUGUCUCUGCUGUGUUUUGCUGUGACAAAUAAUGCCAUAAUUUCUUGGUGGAUUUGUCUGGGGAGUGGGGCAGAAAGUGGAAGGAAAGGGGGUAGUAAUCUGGAGGAUGUCGAAGAGCUGCAAGCCUAGUUUUGGAUGUGAUAGUAAGCACCUCCAGAGUGCAACUGGAUGCCUUGGAAAUGGGGUGAGAGUGAAGGAGGGAGGAAGUGGAGAGGGCAGCAGAGGAGGUGGGACAAUGCCUGGACCCAUGGGCAAGCUCACCCACCCACCCUCUCACUCAUUUUUAGGCAACCAGUGAUUUCUAUCAGUUACCAACAUGGUAUUAGAGAGGCCCAUGUUAACUCAUCUUUUCCCAACCUAAUGCCUUACCAACUAGCUCUUCUAUGCCUUAGUUUGGAAAGGUAGGCUGAGACCAAUCCAUGGAGGGCCUUUACUUCUGCACCAAGGGGUCUACAGCAAUCGGGGGGCUGUAAGUGGACUUACAGUUCUUCAGUUCUCAGGUCAGAAGUUGACUUUGCAAAUACCGAAGUGUUCUUAAGAGAUAAACAGCACAACUAAAGAACAGCCAGCCUUGGGAAAGAACACAAUAUAUGACCUGUCUGGUUGUGCUUGAACUCAGUUGUUUAUCUCCCAGGGGUAGCCCCAUUCUAUUCAUUUAAUUCCACAUUCUUUGUACUCUUUAACUGUCCAUCACUAUGUCCCCAUAGCAGCUUCCCUCCUUAUAGCCCUGCUGGUUCCUUCUUUUUUUGUCUUCCUUUCUUCCUUCCUUCCUUUCUUUUUCUUUCUUUCUUUCUUUUUACCAUCAGUGGAUUCAUAGUAAUUAUAACACAUAUGAUCUGUAUAUACUAAACUACACGUCUAACCGCAAUCUAACACCAGUUCCCAAAUAACAAAAUGCUGCAAAUUCUAAAUUUUGUAGAGUAUUACUGUAGCCUUUAAUUUAAUUAAUUCAAUCUUCUGUGCAGGAAUGACCACAUAGGAGGGCUUUCAUUCCCCUUCCUUCUAUUGUUGUUCACCUUUUGGUUAAAGCAUGGCUCUGCUUCCCAAACCUCCUCCAACCUGCACUCUGUUCUUGGGUUCCCCCUUGGGCAACCUGCCAUGGGGCUUCUGGUUGUCCUGGGGUUUCGCAGGCUGUGUUACUCAGUCUUUGUUCUUAGGACCAAGUAAAGGCAACUCUCUUUGCUGUUUCACACAGGUUGCUAUUUGCUGAAAAGCCUGAGCCCACGGAGAAGCCCUUUAAGGCUUGGAAGAAGGUGCUGUCAUCAUUCAGUACCUUGUUUCUGGCAUCAGUCUCUUAUGUCUCUCCCCCUGACAACCUUUUCCAAUGCCUCUCUGCAGACCUGUCUCCCUCCCUGCCAGGGCUUUCAGCCUUCAUUUCCCCAGGAAAUGAUUUUCUCAGUCUCUCCACAAAAGCCCAGGAGGAAAGGAACUGGCCUUUCGUUCAUAAUGGGCCACAGUGUGAUGAAGGAGUAAAAGUUGUCUGGUGUUGAUAUAAAUGCAUCUUCCCACAAAAAACAGCCGCUGCUGUCACUGGAGCUGGGAGAAAGCUUACUUUGUUUGGAACAAUCAAUGAUAGGGUUAGCAGAAUGUCAGCAUGUCAAGGAGUGACUUAGAGUAUCUAACCAGAUGAGGAAAUGAAGAUCCAUUUAUUUUAGUCAUGGUGUGUAUGAAUGGGUACGUGUGCGUGUAUGUGUGUGUGUGUGUGUGUGUGAGAGAGAGAGAGACAGAGACAGAGACAGAGACAGAGACGGAGAGAGAGAUUUCUUUCCUUUGUAAAGGAGCUGGUUUCUGAAAUGGGGAUGGCUGGUCUCCAAGGGGAUAAUUAGGAUUUUAACAGCUUACUGUGAGUGGAACAUUUCAUUUCUCUAAGUACUGAGAAGUGCAGGCUAAUAGUUAUCCCAGCCAUUAGUUAUUCUGCCAAAGAUUUCUAUCAGACUUAGACAUUCAGAUAGAUGUUCGAACCAGCACUGCGGUCAGCAGAGACCUGUAAAGGCUUUUCUGGAGGAAAUCAAUCUGUACCCAAUGCAUUAUCCAGGCAUGUUUGUUUUUCCGAUUCAUAAGUCAUUUUGUUGUCAGGGUAGCCUUUUUAUUUCUCUUAACUUUAUAUUGAAUUCUUCAAGGCAGGUGUUCCAAAUCCUUUCAGUUUUUUCAAAGAACUUCUGAUCUCCCCCACCCCCAUAGAUGACCUCCAACCUAGUUUACUGAGGGGGUCAAGGCCUCAGCUCUCCUCUCCACUCUCUCAAUUUGAUCUGCAUUGUCAUCCAUCCUUUGCUUUUUUCCUUCAUUCUUUCUACAUAUUUCCAGAGAAGCCACAUCUUAUUUUUGUUCCCAAAGCUAGCCUUUUCUGGAGUUCUUGAUUUACCAGUAACUCCCCAUCUCCACCUCCAUCAACCAUUAUCUCCCUAUUUCUGGCAUCUUCAAGAUCCUGUUCUCUUCUAGCUCAUUGAAAACAUACCCCAAUGUCUUGACUGCAAAAACCUAUAGCAUGACUAUGCUUCCCUAUCAGAAUCCAGGCCCUAGUCAAUUUAUCUGGAACCACAAUUUCUAUUAGAACUGGCCUCUCGUAAGUCAUCAAUAGACAGCACAUCCAACGACCUCAGUCCUUGACACUCCUGACUAUGAGCCAUGCUUAGAAAAGGGGAACAGUGAAGAUUUGAGAGUGAGAGGCACAUAAAUGAGAUUCCGGAAGGGAAGGGCCAUUUUGCAAGCAGUCAUUGAAGAGGUAAAGCUGAGUUGAACACACCAGGCCCUUGGGCUUUGUUCUUUUUCUGGGGUCAGAGGGGGCAGAGUUGGCUCCCAGGCCCUACUGUCAGAGCCAGACAGAAGGUCCUGUCCACCCUGGUGGGCUUGGGUUCAGCACUGCUUGGGCAGAGGAAUGGCCAUGUGGCUUUUGUUUUGGGGAUUUGAACAGACAUCCCAGAGCCCACAGGGAGGUUUCCCCUUACUUUAUGGACUUAGGCAUAUUGCUAAUGCUCACCCCAAGUGAGCUUUAUCUAAUCUAAAGAACCCAAGUUACUCCAAAUCCAACACUAUAUCCAGGAGUGGAAGACAACUUAGAUGUUCUCUCUUUCUUCGGAUUCUUACCACGGAUUCCAUAACACCAUGCUCUUCAUGCCUCUCGCCUUCCUCUCCCACUGGCUCAUCAGUUGCAUGUGCUGUAAAAGUCAAAACACUUUAGGCUCCAACAGGUUGAAACGGCAGAGCCACAAGAUGGAAAUAAGUUGGCCCCUGGAGUCACUUCACGAAGGAUAGAUGCCUGGAAGAAUCACUCUACUCCUGUUGGAUUUUGUGUGAACAAGAAAUAAAUCUUCUGUUAUAUUAAGCCACUGAGCUGUCGGGGUUUACCUAUGACUGUAGCCUGGUCUAUGUAGCUACAAGAGCUUAAAUGCCUGCAGGGGCCUGACCAGGAGGCAACUGAAAUGAAUGAAGUAGCUGAGAGCCUAACAGAGAGCAGGGACUCGGGUGGGGAGGGUACUACCCUGACUCUGGGACUAAGCUUGCCCCAUUACAGGGGAAGGGUUGCUGCUCAGAUCUAGCUCAUUCUCUUAUGGGAUACUUUGGAGCCAGCGUUGCCAGAUCCUAACUGAAUAUUUUCUCAAGAAAAGCUGGGAAUCUGGAUGUUGAUGUGAAAUCUCCCAACUUUUUUUUUUUUUUUUUUCUGUACGCGGGCCUCUCACUGUUGUGGCCUCUCCCGUUGCGGAGCACAGGCUCCAGACGCGCAGAUUCAGUGGCCAUGGCUCACGGGCCCAGCCGCUCCGCGGCAUGUGGGAUCUUCCCGGACCAGGGCACGAACCCGCGUCCCCUGCAUUGGCAGGCGGACUCUCAACCACUGCGCCCCAAAAUCUGGGGGUUUUCGGAAGCCCCAAAAUCUCCCAACUUUUUAAAUGCUGGCAGUUCAUAUGGAUUAAAAAACCAAAACACAGACAUCUUUGCUGUUUCCUAAAUGUCUUAGGUAUGUUUUUGCACUUGCUGGCCCUUCUGCCUGGAAUGUUCUUCCUCUAGGCACCUGCAAGGCUUGUUUCUUCUUCUCCCAUGCCUUUGCCCAAAUGUCACCCUCUCGGCUUUUCCCAACCACCCUCUUUAAGACCACAGCACACUCUCCCUCCCACCUUAUACUGUCUCCUCCUUCCCUGUUUUUCUCUUCUCCAUACUAUUUACUACCUUCUAAAUAGAUAAUUUAAAAAACUUAUUGAUUGAUCUGCACAUUUCUACCAUUAUGAUCAAAGUAUAUGAAGGCAAGGAUUUUUCUGUCUUGUUCACUUUUGUAUGUCAAGUGCCUAGAAUAGUACCUGGGACAUAGAAAAUGCUCAACAUUUAUUUGUUAAGUAAAUGAAUUUUUAAAAACAGCCAGUAUGUGGGUCAGAUGAUGCAUAGCUGGAGAUCUGAUUUAGUUCAUGGGUCAUGAGUUUACAACUUCUGUUUUAGACCCUUACUGAGAAGUCCUUGGAGAAAAGUGCCAUUUAGAGCUGCAAGCAGUUUCCCACCUCCCACAAAGUAGAUGUUUGAUUCAUUUUGUUCUGGGAAAUAAAACACAAGGAGUUUCAGGAAAAGUCUUAUAAAUUCCAGGGAGUCCCAUGCCUGCCUGUAUUUUCACAGAAUACUAUUUCUCAUCUUGUCUCUGCUCAAAAUCCUAGAAUUGUUCACAGCCAAAUUUCUGUCUCGGUCCUGGUGUGGGGACGAGUCGUGGUUCCCAUAGUUACACCCGCCAAUACGUUCCCUUUUGCUUAUUGAAUUGGUUUGAGUUGGGUUUCUGUCACUGUGAAUGAGAGUCCUGACAAAUUUAAUGUGACUUUGGGCGAGCUGUUUCAUGUUUCUGAGUCUCAGCUUCCUCACUUAUAAAAAGGAUGGGGUCAGAUUAGAUAAGCAGUAGAGCCCUUUCCAGGAUUUUAACAUUUCAGAAUUCUAACACAUUUAAGGUCACUGAUCUGUGGAGCCCAAACAUUUUUGACUGUGGGCAAACUUGGUUCCCUGGAUCCACAUGUCACUCUUGGCCCCCAUUACCAGCAGCCCCUCUGACUGUCUGUUGCUCCCACCUCCUUUGGGGGGUUGGUUUUUCUGGUCACAUGUUCAGGACUUGCUCCUGUUGGUAGAGUCACAUGCAUUGUCCUUCUAGUAUCUCCAGAUAUGUCCUCCAACAUGAUCCUUGUGGACACAUUUUUCUUCUUCCUGACCCCAGCUCUUAUUUGUCUUUUCCUCUUUCUUGUCCCAUGCCUCACUAAAGUCAUAUUUACUUAAUCUGCAGCAUUCAGACAUUUUUAGAUCUUUCAUGCCCUAUUGUGUGUCUAGACUGUUCUCCCUUUUACUGCCUCCUUCCAUGCUCCUCUGGGAUGGGUAGGAAGCUUACUUUAUCAACUCAGGUUAGAAAGCUACAUUAUUUUCUUUAAAUCAUCAUAGAGUCUGCCUCUGAGUCCCCAUUUGGCAGGGCUGGAGAGAAAUUCAGUCUUCGUCAUUAUUAGGGAUACCUCCCUUCAUUCUAGAGUCAGGCAAAAGUCUUGGGGCUCUUAUACAGAGCAAAACAUUUGGAGGGGUCCCCCCAGUUCAGGGCAAGUUGGCUACUGUGGAUAUGCUCUUUUCCUAGCCCACAUGGCAACCUGGUAUCUGGUAGCUGCUGGACCACACUUGGGCAUGAAAAUGAUAAUAACAAUAACAGCAACAACAAUGUUUAUGGAAUGUUACUAAAGUGCCAGGGACUCAGUAGUGCUUUACAAAAAUAAUUUCAUAUGAGCCAACUGCUCUUUGGCCUAGAACAUACUUUUCCCAGAUAACUCACAGUUCUCCCUCAUCUCCUUUAAGUCUUUGCCAAAUAUUAUGUUCUCAGUGAGGCCUAUCCUGACCACCUGCCUCUGUGCCUCAUCCCCUACACUCGCCAUCCCUUUUCCCUGCUCUACUUUUGUUCCCAUAGCACAUUCUAGGCUAUAUGAUUUACAUACUAAUAGUGUUUUCUGUCUGCCUCCCCCCAGUAGAAUGUAAGCUCUAAAAGGGUAGGAUCUUUAUUUGUUUACUUCUAUCUCUCAAGCCCCUAGAACAGUACCUAGCAUAUAGUUCAAUAAAUGCUUUGGAAUAUGUGAUUUUAAUUUUCAUGGAUGAGGAAACUGAGGCACAUAAAGGGAAGCAGCUAUCCCAUGGCACAUAGCCAGCCAGUGGUAGAGCUUGAGUUUAAGCCCAGGCCACCUGAUUUCUUUUAACCACUUUGUGUGAAAUGGGUACCCCCAGACCCCCAUCUAGCCUCCUGAGGUGCAUCACUCCUCCCAGAGGCCCUGCUGUAUCCCUGGGGCAUUAAGAGAGUACAGUGUGGGUCCCAAUCCUCAAUGAACCCAUGAAUCUCCCUCCUCCUUCUGCUCACCCCCCAUUCCCUUCCCUAAACACUGCCCACUUCCAGAGUAAUAGAAUAUCCUCAAGGAGAUUAAAACUUUCAUUUAGGCCAGGAAAAGAGUUUAUCUUCUGGGAACACCACCUUUCCACUUAGCAAGUGCUCUUGAGGCUAAGAAAUGUAAGGAUUGGCCACUUUCUUGGAAUGAGGAGGUGGGGUAUCCAGAAGACAAAACAGAAUUAGCUUUGAGUGUGAGUGAGUGUGUUUGUAAUGAACGUGCCUUUUAUACCCUGAGCUCCCUUUCCCACACCACUGCAAGAUCGUCUCUUUUCUUCCUUUAAUUCCAGUUCCCAAGUCCAGCCAUGCUACAAAUACCUGCUGAAGCCCCUCUGAAUGGAACAGGCUUGUGCAAAGCCCACCUCCCAAGAGGGCUGGAGGGAGUGGAGCUCUCAUGGCAAAUGUGAAAAAGGAUUGUCUUCCUAUUACUGGAGGAUUUCCCCCAGUGUUUCCUCAAUAAUUUCAGCUGCAGCAUUCAUUUAAAGCCUCCUGCAAAAAUGACUCCUCCACAUUUGAAAACCAAGGCUUGUGAACAUUGUGAGGAGAGAGAGGCAGAGCACCCCCUUCAUUCCAGCCCCCCAAAAAGACCCAGGCGCUCAUCUGCAGAGACAUCUGUGCCCAAGGACCAGGCUGAGGGGGACGCGUUUUCAUCCUUGAAUGUUUCCUGUCUUUCUAGUGACUUCCUAUCUCUCUGUGAUUGACAAGUAGCUUUAGAUGCUGGAGACUGACCAAAACCAAAUCCUGUGGUGAUCCUUUCACAGCUGGGCCCUUCCUGUUCCAUCUCGGAGUGGCAAGCAGGACCAGUGUGAUCAAAAAGGAGAAGGCUGGGCUUCCCUGGUGGCGCAGUGGUUGAGAGUCCGCCUGCCAAUGCAGGGGACGCGGUUCGUGCCCUGGCCCGGGAAGAUCCCACAUGCCGCGGAGCGGCUGGGCACGUGAGCCAUGGCCGCUGAACCUGCGCGUCCGGAGCCUGUGCUCCGCAACGGGAGAGGCCACAACAGUGAGAGGCCCGCGUACCGCAAAAAAAAAAAAAAAAAAAAAAAGGAGAAGGCUGAAUGGAACAUGGCUCAAAGGAAGAAAAGGGAAGGGGAGGGGCCUCUGUUCCGAGGGCCCAGAGCUCCGAGUCCUCCAGGUACAGGCAUGGGAGAGUCAGACCCACAGGAGAGGCUGGGCAGAGCCCCCAAACCCGGAGCAGGUGGAGCCCAGAGAAGAGUCUGCAAAUCUUCCAGCCCCAACUCCAGAGUCUCCUGGUGACUUUCGGGGGGCAGCAUCCACAUCACCUCCCACCAGCCACUCCGUGGGCUGAGAAGACAGCGCCUCCACCAGAGGGCCUGGGCUCCCUUCCGACGCAUCUGCGAACAGGGCGUGGGCUCUGGCCAAAGCCCCAAACCAGAAGGUGGAAACUUUUGCUGAGCACUGGGAGAGGCGGGGAGGUGUUGGUGUUUUAGAAACCAAACCUAUGUCCUUAGAAACACCGCAGAAGGGCUCGGCAGAGCAGCCAGGAGUUGGAUGGUGCUGCAGUGAAUCACAGAAACUCCAGGGAAGAAGAGGCCAUCAGAGAGGGGAGGCAGGCUCUUUUUUUUUGUGGUAUGCGGGCCUCUCACUGCCGUGGCCUGCCCCGCCGCGGAGCAAAGGCUCCGCACGCGCAGGUCCAGCGGCCAUGGCCCACGGGCCCAGCCGCCCCGCGGCAUGUGAGACCCUCCCAGACCGGGCACGAACCCGCGUCCCCCGCAUCGGCAGGCGGACUACCAACCACUGCGCCACCAGGGAAGCCCGAGGCAGGCUCUUUUGAAGUCUCAAAAUCUUUAUUAAAUAAAGGAUCCAAGAGGCCUUGAUCAUAGAGCAAAGUUUAAUAACGUUAUAUAUAAUAAAGGAAAAUGAAGCAACAAUAGCUAUUGUUAGUUAAAAAUGACCUAAGUGACGUAUAAUCUUUGAAUUUACAAAGAUAGCACAACUUAUGCAAUAAAUCAUAUUUGCAGUUAGUCUUUUUUUCAGUAGCAACAAUAAGAUGAUUUUACAGGGGUAGAGUUGGGGUUGCAGUUUGUGAGACUUGUCAUAACAUUUCUCAGCUCUCUUUCCAAUUUUUGCUCUUCCUAUACCUUUUUUUUUUUUUUUUUUUGUCAUUUAGUUGACCACAGUCACAUUGUCUGCUUUCUCUUCCAUUUUUGAAAACAUAUAAAACUUCCAAGUGAUACGGGAACUUCAUUUGGAAGUUGAAUAAGUGAAAAGAAUUAAAUUCAGAAAGUUUCCUUAAACCUAAAAACAUGGAAAACUUCAGCAAUGUUACGAAAAUGACCAAAAUGCCCCAAUGACCCGAGGAAUAAGCGAGCAUCCAAGUUCUUCCCCAGCACAUCGGAACCCUUCUCCAGAGGUGGUCUCAUCCACUGGUUUGCCCAGCGCAGCAUGCUGCACCGCAAGGGGAAAGAAACAGAAGAAAAGUCACAGUUCAGAGAGAUCAACACACUUUUGGAAUUUGGAAAGCUGAUGUAUUUUUGCAGGAAUUGUCAAAUUUUUCUGUAAAGGUCUGGAUAGUAAAUGGUUCAGGCAUUGUGGGUUACUGUGGGCUCCGUCAAAAUUGUUCAACGCUGCCAUUAUCACAGGAACGCCGCCAAAGACAAUAUGGGCAUGGCUGUGUUCCAAUAAAACUUUAUUUACAAAAACAGGCAUGGGUUGGCUUUAACCCACAGGCCGUUUGCCAGUCUCUGGAUUAUUGGUUCCAUGGCAGCAGGCCAGAGACAACUCCAAACAGGAGUUGGGGAAGAAGGGCUGAACAAUGGAGUCAGGGACUGCUAUGUUCACUAGCAUUUCCUUUUCCUUAUGGACAUGUAGGUGGCCUAUAUUUUCCCAGCCUCUCUCAUAGUUAGGUGGGGCUACGUGACUGAGUUCUGAAUGCUAGUGGCAUAUGAACGGAAAUAAAGUCUGCCAUUUUCAGGCCUGGAUUCUUAACAACA
Molecule: long non-coding RNA, 14933 nt
Organism: Orcinus orca (killer whale)
Lineage: Eukaryota; Metazoa; Chordata; Mammalia; Artiodactyla; Delphinidae
Exons: 4
Source: RefSeq, a predicted model, not a curated record